AUGUCCUCAUCAUGCGAGGUAGGCAACGAGGUCCUCCAUGGUGAGCAACCUCCGUCAACUUCGUUGCCUCAUAGGGGGGCAGGCCGCCACAGCCCUGCCGUGCCGCCUCCCACGCCGCACCGCCGUGGUGCAUCUCCACCCCCACCUCGCAUAAAACGACCACCUGUGCAACUCCUGCCCCGAGGCAGGGUCUCCGUCGGCACCUCGAUGGCACCACCUUCAACCCCCCUCCCCCUCUCCUCUGCAACCAUCGUGGAGGUUGGGUGGGACGUGAAGACGAGAAGGUUUGGGAAGAGCUGA
This 300-nucleotide ribosomal RNA is filed under the name Triticum aestivum (bread wheat). RNAcentral's name for it is "partial small subunit ribosomal RNA". Lineage: Eukaryota; Viridiplantae; Streptophyta; Magnoliopsida; Poales; Poaceae. The record is from RNAcentral.